Molecule: ribosomal RNA, 500 nt
Filed under: uncultured bacterium
Lineage: Bacteria
Description: partial 16S ribosomal RNA
Rfam family: Bacterial small subunit ribosomal RNA
Source: RNAcentral
AUUGAACGCUGGCGGAAUGCUUUACACAUGCAAGUCGAACGGCAGCACGGACUUCGGUUUGGUGGCGAGUGGCGAACGGGUGAGUAAUAUAUCGGAACGUGCCCAGUGGUGGGGGAUAACGUAGUGAAAAUUACGCUAAUACCGCAUACGAUCAAAGGGUGAAAGCGGGGGAGCGCAAGACCUCGCGCGAUUGGAGCGGCCUAUAUCAGAUUAGGUAGUUGGUGAGGUAAAGGCUCACCAAGCCACCGAUCUGUAGCUGGUCUGAGGGGAUGGCCAGCCACACUGGAACUGAGACACGGUCCAGACUCCUACGGGAGGCAGCAGUGGGGAAUUUUGGACAAUGGACGCAAGUCUGAUCCAGCCAUUCCGCGUGCAGGACGAAGGCCUUCGGGUUGUAAACUGCUUUUGUACAGAACGAAAAAGUUUCUAUUAAUACUAGGAGCUCAUGACGGUACUGUAAGAAUAAGCACCGGCUAACUACGUGCCAGCCGCCGCGGUAA